UACGGGGGGAGCAAGCGUUGUUCGGAUUUACUGGGCGUAAAGGGCGCGUAGGCGGUCAGCACAAGUCAGUUGUGAAAUCUCCGGGCUUAACUCGGAAAGGUCAACUGAUACUGUGCGACUAGAGUGCGGAAGGGGCAACUGGAAUUCUCGGUGUAGCGGUGAAAUGCGUAGAUAUCGAGAGGAACACCUGCGGCGAAGGCGGGUUGCUGGGCCGACACUGACGCUGAUGCGCGAAAGCCAGGG
This 243-nucleotide ribosomal RNA is filed under the name uncultured bacterium. Its description in RNAcentral is "partial 16S ribosomal RNA". It matches the Rfam family "Bacterial small subunit ribosomal RNA", at positions 524 to 765 of the family's 1533-position model. The record is from RNAcentral.